Molecule: ribosomal RNA, 1475 nt
Filed under: Phaeobacter italicus
Lineage: Bacteria; Pseudomonadati; Pseudomonadota; Alphaproteobacteria; Rhodobacterales; Roseobacteraceae
Description: bacterial LSU rRNA
Rfam family: Bacterial large subunit ribosomal RNA
Source: RNAcentral
GAAGGGCGUUUGGUGGAUGCCUUGGCAGUAAGAGGCGAUGAAGGACGUGAUACUCUGCGAUAAGCUUGGGGGAGCCGAGAAUAGGCUUUGAUCCCAGGAUCUCCGAAUGGGGGAACCCACCUGACAGUUUGUUAUUGUUAGCUUCGCUAUCAAUAAUAAGCUUAAUCAGGUACUUAAAACCUGAAUACAUAGGGUUUUAAGAGCAAACCCGGGGAACUGAAACAUCUAAGUACCCGGAGGAAAGGAAAUCAAUAUGAUACUCCCCUAGUAGCGGCGAGCGAACGGGGACCAGCCGAGCCUUGAGUGUGAAUAGAAUGUGUUGGGAAGCACAGCCAGAGUGGGUGAUAGCCCCGUAUAUGAAGCAUGAUAGGACGUAUUAAGUAGGGCGGGACACGUGAAAUCCUGUCUGAAGAUCGGAGGACCACCUUCGAAGGCUAAGUACUCCUUACUGACCGAUAGCGAACCAGUACCGUGAGGGAAAGGUGAAAAGCACCCCGACGAGGGGAGUGAAACAGUACCUGAAACCGAACGCCUACAAUCAGUUGGAGGCCCCUUGAGGGCUGACAGCGUACCUUUUGUAUAAUGGGUCAUCGACUUGGUCUCACGAGCAAGCUUAAGCCGUUAGGUGUAGGCGCAGCGAAAGCGAGUCUUAAUAGGGCGAAUGAGUUCGUGGGAUCAGACCCGAAACCGAGUGAUCUAGGCAUGGCCAGGUUGAAGGUGCAGUAACAUGCACUGGAGGACCGAACCCACAUCCGUUGAAAAGGAUCGGGAUGAGCUGUGCCUAGGGGUGAAAGGCCAAUCAAACUCGGAGAUAGCUGGUUCUCUGCGAAAUCUAUUUAGGUAGAGCGUCAUCCGAAUACCCCGGGGGGUAGAGCACUGGAUGGGUAAUGGGGCCCCACAGGCUUACUGAUCCUAACCAAACUCCGAAUACCCGGGAGUACUAGAUGGCAGACACACUGCGGAUGCUAACGUCCGUAGUGGAGAGGGAAACAACCCUGACCUACAGCUAAGGCCCCUAAUUCAUGGCUAAGUGGGAAAGCAGGUGGGAUGUCCAAAACAACCAGGAGGUUGGCUUAGAAGCAGCCAUCCUUUAAAGAUAGCGUAACAGCUCACUGGUCUAAAUAAGACGUCCUGCGGCGAAGAUGUAACGGGGCUCAAGCCAUGAGCCGAAGCUUAGGAUGCACAUAGUGCAUGGUAGCAGAGCGUAGUGUGACAUAGCUUCAUGUCUCCUUAGUGUCCAAGGACACAUCGGAGACACGAAGCUUUCGAUGAAGCGGGCGCGUGAGCGAUCCCGUGGAGAGAUCACUAGCGAGAAUGAUGACAUGAGUAGCGACAAAGAGUGUGAGAGACACUCUCGCCGAAAGUCCAAGGGUUCCUGCUUAAAGCUAAUCUGAGCAGGGUAAGCCGGCCCCUAAGGCGAGGCCGAAAGGCGUAGCCGAUGGGAACUAGGUUAAUAUUCCUAGGCCAGGAGGAUG